UACGAAGGGGGCUAGCGUUGCUCGGAAUCACUGGGCGUAAAGCGCACGUAGGCGGCUUGUUAAGUCAGGGGUGAAAUCCUGGAGCUCAACUCCAGAACUGCCUUUGAUACUGGCGAGCUUGAGUUCGGAGAGGUGAGUGGAACUGCGAGUGUAGAGGUGAAAUUCGUAGAUAUUCGCAAGAACACCAGUGGCGAAGGCGGCUCACUGGCCCGAUACUGACGCUGAGGUGCGAAAGCGUGGGGAGCAAACAGG
Molecule: ribosomal RNA, 252 nt
Filed under: uncultured bacterium
Lineage: Bacteria
Description: partial 16S ribosomal RNA
Rfam family: Bacterial small subunit ribosomal RNA
Source: RNAcentral